This is a non-coding RNA of Punica granatum (pomegranate), 980 nucleotides long. The record is from RefSeq and is a predicted model, not a curated record. NCBI's taxonomy places the organism in Eukaryota, Viridiplantae, Streptophyta, Magnoliopsida, Myrtales, Lythraceae.
CAAGGACCGGCCACGUGUCAAUCCCAAGCUUCCUAUUUACCAAAAGAAAAGACGGACAUGGAGAAAAACAAAAAUAAUAAAAAUAAAGAAACAAAUAAACUGACAUGCCGUCUCCUUGUCUCCCCCCUCUCUCACUGUUGUUGCCUUUGCACCUGUCUCUCUGUGUCGUCGCCUUGGCUGUUUGUAUCAUCUACCAUACUGCCUCUUCUCUCGAUCAUCAAAGACUCUGUUUUCGUCCACCAUCUCCCUCUCUGUCUGUCGUUGCCAAAAGAGAGUGUUUGUGCCCUUAUCUUGCUCUCUCGGGCUGCCUCGAGACUGUCUGUGUGUCUCCAUCUCUCGCAAACAAAAGGCUGCUAUCAAACUCCUUGAAGGGUUCAGCUGAAUGUUCAGGAUUUUAAAAGGAAAAGCAAAGUUCGGUCAGUGGGCUUCGAAUCAGUCUGAUGUUCCCUUCGAAUGAGUUUGAUGCAAAUUGCUGUGUUGAUAGAAUCUCGAGUCAAUAUUAGAAAGAAACUAUUAUCGAAGCUGUGGAUAGGUCAGAAAGGUUGCAGCAAGCUCGGGUUUCGGAAGUUGAGGCAAUGAUACCGAAGGAUCGACUAAAUUCUUUAUAAAGAAAGGGCCUGGAAUUGCUUCUUCGACAAUGACUCUGUCUAAUAUAGAAGCUGCAGCAGUAGGAGCCCGAGAGAGAAAAGCAAAGGAUAGGUCAGUUGGCUUCGAAUCAGUCUGAUGUUGCUUUGAAUCAGUUUGAUGCAAAUUAAUAGUUUUGAAGACGGUUUAUAAUAACAAAUAUUCAAAUUUCUACUAUGAGAAACAAUCGCCUGCAACGUCCGGGUGAAAUAGCUAGUUAGACAUGAUUACUAAACAGGGCAUUGUGAGAGGUUUAGUAACACAUAAUAAUAAUUUAGGAUAUGGUAUGGAAUUAACUAAAAAUUUUCCCGCGGGAAAAUUAUGCUAUGAGAAUUGAUUUUUUUUUUCGAUGUUAA